This 2905-nucleotide ribosomal RNA is filed under the name Escherichia coli. RNAcentral's name for it is "23S ribosomal RNA". It matches the Rfam family "Bacterial large subunit ribosomal RNA". The record is from RNAcentral. Lineage: Bacteria; Pseudomonadati; Pseudomonadota; Gammaproteobacteria; Enterobacterales; Enterobacteriaceae.
GGUUAAGCGACUAAGCGUACACGGUGGAUGCCCUGGCAGUCAGAGGCGAUGAAGGACGUGCUAAUCUGCGAUAAGCGUCGGUAAGGUGAUAUGAACCGUUAUAACCGGCGAUUUCCGAAUGGGGAAACCCAGUGUGAUUCGUCACACUAUCAUUAACUGAAUCCAUAGGUUAAUGAGGCGAACCGGGGGAACUGAAACAUCUAAGUACCCCGAGGAAAAGAAAUCAACCGAGAUUCCCCAAGUAGCGGCGAGCGAACGGGGAGCAGCCCAGAGCCUGAAUCAGUGUGUGUGUUAGUGGAAGCGUCUGGAAAGGCGCGCGAUACAGGGUGACAGCCCCGUACACAAAAAUGCACAUACUGUGAGCUCGAUGAGUAGGGCGGGACACGUGGUAUCCUGUCUGAAUAUGGGGGGACCAUCCUCCAAGGCUAAAUACUCCUGACUGACCGAUAGUGAACCAGUACCGUGAGGGAAAGGCGAAAAGAACCCCGGCGAGGGGAGUGAAAAAGAACCUGAAACCGUGUACGUACAAGCAGUGGGAGCACGCUUAGGCGUGUGACUGCGUACCUUUUGUAUAAUGGGUCAGCGACUUAUAUUCUGUAGCAAGGUUAACCGAAUAGGGGAGCCGAAGGGAAACCGAGUCUUAACUGGGCGUUAAGUUGCAGGGUAUAGACCCGAAACCCGGUGAUCUAGCCAUGGGCAGGUUGAAGGUUGGGUAACACUAACUGGAGGACCGAACCGACUAAUGUUGAAAAAUUAGCGGAUGACUUGUGGCUGGGGGUGAAAGGCCAAUCAAACCGGGAGAUAGCUGGUUCUCCCCGAAAGCUAUUUAGGUAGCGCCUCGUGAAUUCAUCUCCGGGGGUAGAGCACUGUUUCGGCAAGGGGGUCAUCCCGACUUACCAACCCGAUGCAAACUGCGAAUACCGGAGAAUGUUAUCACGGGAGACACACGGCGGGUGCUAACGUCCGUCGUGAAGAGGGAAACAACCCAGACCGCCAGCUAAGGUCCCAAAGUCAUGGUUAAGUGGGAAACGAUGUGGGAAGGCCCAGACAGCCAGGAUGUUGGCUUAGAAGCAGCCAUCAUUUAAAGAAAGCGUAAUAGCUCACUGGUCGAGUCGGCCUGCGCGGAAGAUGUAACGGGGCUAAACCAUGCACCGAAGCUGCGGCAGCGACGCUUAUGCGUUGUUGGGUAGGGGAGCGUUCUGUAAGCCUGUGAAGGUGUGCUGUGAGGCAUGCUGGAGGUAUCAGAAGUGCGAAUGCUGACAUAAGUAACGAUAAAGCGGGUGAAAAGCCCGCUCGCCGGAAGACCAAGGGUUCCUGUCCAACGUUAAUCGGGGCAGGGUGAGUCGACCCCUAAGGCGAGGCCGAAAGGCGUAGUCGAUGGGAAACAGGUUAAUAUUCCUGUACUUGGUGUUACUGCGAAGGGGGGACGGAGAAGGCUAUGUUGGCCGGGCGACGGUUGUCCCGGUUUAAGCGUGUAGGCUGGUUUUCCAGGCAAAUCCGGAAAAUCAAGGCUGAGGCGUGAUGACGAGGCACUACGGUGCUGAAGCAACAAAUGCCCUGCUUCCAGGAAAAGCCUCUAAGCAUCAGGUAACAUCAAAUCGUACCCCAAACCGACACAGGUGGUCAGGUAGAGAAUACCAAGGCGCUUGAGAGAACUCGGGUGAAGGAACUAGGCAAAAUGGUGCCGUAACUUCGGGAGAAGGCACGCUGAUAUGUAGGUGAAGUCCCUCGCGGAUGGAGCUGAAAUCAGUCGAAGAUACCAGCUGGCUGCAACUGUUUAUUAAAAACACAGCACUGUGCAAACACGAAAGUGGACGUAUACGGUGUGACGCCUGCCCGGUGCCGGAAGGUUAAUUGAUGGGGUCAGCGCAAGCGAAGCUCUUGAUCGAAGCCCCGGUAAACGGCGGCCGUAACUAUAACGGUCCUAAGGUAGCGAAAUUCCUUGUCGGGUAAGUUCCGACCUGCACGAAUGGCGUAAUGAUGGCCAGGCUGUCUCCACCCGAGACUCAGUGAAAUUGAACUCGCUGUGAAGAUGCAGUGUACCCGCGGCAAGACGGAAAGACCCCGUGAACCUUUACUAUAGCUUGACACUGAACAUUGAGCCUUGAUGUGUAGGAUAGGUGGGAGGCUUAGAAGUGUGGACGCCAGUCUGCAUGGAGCCGACCUUGAAAUACCACCCUUUAAUGUUUGAUGUUCUAACGUUGACCCGUAAUCCGGGUUGCGGACAGUGUCUGGUGGGUAGUUUGACUGGGGCGGUCUCCUCCUAAAGAGUAACGGAGGAGCACGAAGGUUGGCUAAUCCUGGUCGGACAUCAGGAGGUUAGUGCAAUGGCAUAAGCCAGCUUGACUGCGAGCGUGACGGCGCGAGCAGGUGCGAAAGCAGGUCAUAGUGAUCCGGUGGUUCUGAAUGGAAGGGCCAUCGCUCAACGGAUAAAAGGUACUCCGGGGAUAACAGGCUGAUACCGCCCAAGAGUUCAUAUCGACGGCGGUGUUUGGCACCUCGAUGUCGGCUCAUCACAUCCUGGGGCUGAAGUAGGUCCCAAGGGUAUGGCUGUUCGCCAUUUAAAGUGGUACGCGAGCUGGGUUUAGAACGUCGUGAGACAGUUCGGUCCCUAUCUGCCGUGGGCGCUGGAGAACUGAGGGGGGGCUGCUCCUAGUACGAGAGGACCGGAGUGGACGCAUCACUGGUGUUCGGGUUGUCAUGCCAAUGGCACUGCCCGGUAGCUAAAUGCGGAAGAGAUAAGUGCUGAAAGCAUCUAAGCACGAAACUUGCCCCGAGAUGAGUUCUCCCUGACCCUUUAAGGGUCCUGAAGGAACGUUGAAGACGACGACGUUGAUAGGCCGGGUGUGUAAGCGCAGCGAUGCGUUGAGCUAACCGGUACUAAUGAACCGUGAGGCUUAACCUU